Molecule: non-coding RNA, 31 nt
Filed under: Rattus norvegicus (Norway rat)
Lineage: Eukaryota; Metazoa; Chordata; Mammalia; Rodentia; Muridae
Source: RNAcentral
UGAAGGACCUACAAUGUCACGGGUGCUGCAC